GAUGAACGCUGGCGGCGUGCUUAACACAUGCAAGUCGGACGGGCAGCGCAAGCUGUCAGUGGCAAACGGGUGCGUAACACGUAGGUGACCUGCCUGAAAGACGGGGACAACCGCUGGAAACGGCGGCUAAUACCCGAUGCGCUCUGCGGAGCAAAGCCCUAACGGCGCUUUCAGAGGGGCCUGCGGCCUAUCAGGUGGUUGGUAGGGUAACGGCCUACCAAGCCGUCGACGGGAGGGGGCGUGAGAGCGUGGCCCCCNCCACGGACGG
Molecule: ribosomal RNA, 268 nt
Filed under: uncultured bacterium
Lineage: Bacteria
Description: partial 16S ribosomal RNA
Rfam family: Bacterial small subunit ribosomal RNA
Source: RNAcentral